This is a non-coding RNA of Pelmatolapia mariae (spotted tilapia), 360 nucleotides long. The record is from the annotation of a RefSeq genome assembly. Lineage: Eukaryota; Metazoa; Chordata; Actinopteri; Cichliformes; Cichlidae.
AUGGACUACUGGACGGCACUGCUACUUUUAACUGUCUGCUGGGCAGGUGUUGAUGGUCAGACUCUGACACAAUCUGAACCAGCAGUUAAAAGACCAGGAGAAUCCCACAGAUUGACCUGUACAGCUUCUGGAUAUACCUUUGGAGACUACAGCUUGGUCUGGGUCAGACAGGCUCCUGGGAAAGGACUGGAGUGGAUUGCUUACAUAUAUUGGAUUGAUGGCAGCACUUCCUAUUCUCAGUCAGUUCAAGGCCGGUUUACCAUCUCCAAGGACAACAGCAAACGGCAGCUGUAUCUGCAGAUGAACAGUCUGAAGACUGAAGAUUCUGCUGUUUAUUAUUGUGCUCGAAAUCCACAGUGA